Long non-coding RNA from Poecilia latipinna (sailfin molly), 197 nucleotides. RefSeq lists it as uncharacterized. NCBI's taxonomy places the organism in Eukaryota, Metazoa, Chordata, Actinopteri, Cyprinodontiformes, Poeciliidae. The record is from RefSeq and is a predicted model, not a curated record. The transcript is spliced from 2 exons.
AUGAGCUGCUUGUGGCUGUUGACCCCAAAGCGCUCCUCGCAGAACUUCGAAUCAUCGUGGGACAAUCCCAGCAGUGCGACCAAGGCAGCUCGGCCUGGAAGCUGUAGAACAGGUAGAAGAGGGCCCAGGCCAGGAUGACAAUGUAGUAGACGCAGCCGUGCAGGAUCAUCACCUGGCUGGCGUAGCCGAGACCUGCA